UACAGAGGUGGCAAGCGUUGUUCGGAAUUACUGGGCGUAAAGGGCGCGUAGGCGGUCCGAUAAGUCCUGUGUGAAAUCCCUCGGCUCAACUGAGGAACUGCACGGGAGACUGUCGGGCUUGAGUUCGGGAGAGGGAAGCGGAAUUCCGGGUGUAGCGGUGAAAUGCGUAGAUAUCCGGAGGAACACCGGUGGCGAAGGCGGCUUCCUGGACCGACACUGACGCUGAGGCGCGAAAGCGUGGGGAGCGAACAGG
This 253-nucleotide ribosomal RNA is filed under the name uncultured bacterium. RNAcentral describes it as "partial 16S ribosomal RNA". It matches the Rfam family "Bacterial small subunit ribosomal RNA", at positions 524 to 776 of the family's 1533-position model. The record is from RNAcentral.